AUAUAUAGUAAUUGCAACUUGCAUUAUACUAAUUAGCUUUAGUCUAUAUACUAGCUUGAGAGGCUUAGAUUGAGACACUGUUGGGAAUUCCCCUGCCAGUUAGUCCUCCUUCGCUAGUAGGAAACAGCAAAGUGUAUGGCAUCUUCACCGGUCCAACUCGGUUCUUCAGUUUCUCAUCAUUGUUCAUACGUGUAAUUCUGUCCUCAAUUUCAGCCAGUUUCCUUCCAAAUUUAUCAAAGGCUUUCAAUGGUUCUGUGUCUGCUGUCCACUCAGGAGUGUCUCUCUGCCCCAAAUACACUUCAUCAGUAGAAUGCCUCGACAGAAUUUCAAUGAGGGCAAUGCCAAGCACUGUCUGCAGCUGAGCAGUAAUUGUUUUCAAGAAAACUGUAUCAGGGCUGGAUUCGAGCUCUUUGUACUCAGGAGUCCCCUUCUCAGGCAUGAAUUUUCGGCUUAUAGUUGGGCGGUUGGGGAGGUAUCCUGCAUAAGGGUACUGUCCAAAGUUGACGGCUGCAUGGAGAGCAGAAGCAGUCCAUAUGAUGAUAGUGCAUGUUUCUACUAGGUCUUCGCGAGUCUGCAUUUUAGGCCACCAGGGCUCAUCUUUUUUGUCACCAUGGCCUUCCUCUACAAGCUCCUUCCACCAGGAUUGGAGUUCAAUGUCUUUUUGAAUUAUGUCAUCAGUCUUGUAGUAGAAAGAGCAAUAGUCUUCAACCCAAGUUUUAAUUGCAAACCAGAUUUCAAUCCCAUCAACAGCAUAUGGAUAGUCAUCGAUCAGUAGGCGAAGACCAUGUGGAGAAUUUGCAUCCUUGACUGCAACUCCUCUGUAUUGAUCAAUGGCAAAGCAAUGUAAUUAGAAUAAGGAAUGGAUAUUUAUUACUUAUCUUGUGCUCAUUUGAGUUACUUGUGCAGAGGCAAUUAACUCACAAAGUGUAGAUUUUUGUUUACCUCUUGAUGAGAUCUGCAGGGAGAGCUUGCUCGGUGAAAACCCAAUCCUUAUAAACCACUGAUGACAUCUCCAUGGCAUACCUAGCAGGAAAAACUGUUGUCUCCAGAAUGCCGCCAGCAUUAAUCAGGAUUUGCCUGGCAAAUGCAUUUAUGUUCAUGGUGUCACGGAAGUGAGGAUGCAGAAGUUUGUAAAUUGGGUGAACCACGCUUAGCUGCCUGUUUGUAGCUAUUACAACUGGCUCACACACUGCGUGGGUGUUCAACCUGUGGCCAAAAGAUAAAAGGAUUAUCAGAAACCCAAUUCAAAGUAUAUGAUGAAUUCAUUUUCUAAGUCUUUUUCUUUGAAAGAUUAGUACCAGUGACUGAUAAGUUGAUGAUAUCCAGAGUCAUUUACAGCCACGUAAGCUUUAGCCAGUUGCCAUAUGGAGCCUUCUACACCCUCUUCAGCUGGUGUAUAUACUUUACUAAUGCGACCAAAUUGAUCUCCAUCAGGAUGAGGCAAGCUUAAUUCAAUCACCAAUGGCUUCAAAGUUCCAUCACUUUUCAAGAAAAGAACUGUUCUGCUAGCAUAGAUCUUGUUGGAAGUUGAGUUUAUCCGCCUCAGGUACGGCAUCAAUGCAUCAUGAUGAUCCAAUAUGAAUAACUUGUUCUGCUUGAGUGCCUAUCCAACCAAAUUCAUUUUCAUCAUUAUGAAAUGAUAUAAACUCAAACAUAAGCUAAUACAAUGUAAAGGAAGCAAAUCCAAGAUAUAACCUCAUGCACUGUUAGUCCAUCCAAGUUGUUCCCUAUAUCCUGUUCUGUUAUUCUACUGGUUUGAUCUCCAUAAACUUUUGGGUCUAGUUUGCUUGCUGGUGGAAAUUCCUGCAGUACAGUUAGAAGCAAAUGUGAUUAAAUAUGAACAAAAUGGACCCUCGAAGGUUUUGUUUGUUUUUCAUCCAUUAUCAUUGGAAAACAUCACACACAAAAUGUUGUGAAGAUUAUUACUUGCAGAAGACUAAUGUUGACAGGGUUCACUCCAGCCAGCAUUUCUCUGGCAAAUUCUUCAUCAGUCCUCCAUGCAGACUUAUCCUCUGCUCCAAAUCAUGAAAACAUCAGAAUUAGAUAAAAGGAAAUAGUACAUGAUAUCAUAGGCUAUUGCUUAAAGCUUCUAAAUUCAGAAUUUCUCAUUGGUGGAACCAUAUACCUUCGAUCACUUGAGGCAUGGGGAAUCUGAGCAAUUGUGCACCGUCAGUUCGGAAAAUUUCCUUGAGCAUCUCUGCAGGGAUAUUGUCUCCGAUAUCCUUCAAUAAACCUUCAGGCAAUGGAAUGCCUCCUUCAUAGAGUUUAAGCACAUCUUCCAAGCUGUCAAACUCAUUAGGAGUCUUAUCAAACAGGGCUUCUAGCUCUGGCCUAAUGAAUUGAACUAUGGAUUUCAGUGCAUAAGCCAGAAAGUCUGACAACUUCAAGUGUCCAAAUCGUUCAUCUCUUGGCACAUAAAUGUUUAAGCUCAUAAGAAGUGGAAUCCUACUCUCGCUGUUAGAAUCUGUUAGAAUAAGAUCAGAAAAAUCUUAGUGAUAAUUACAACAUCAGUUAAUUAAAAUCCAAAUUAGUAUAUCAACUUCUACAGUAAAACAAUACAAAAUAUGAUCCCUCUUGUGACUGCUAAUUAAUGAUUUGAGGAACAAAAAAUGACACAAAGAUAUUUAAAUGGCUAACCUGUCUUCGUUGGUGGUCUGCCGGUUCUUCCCCUGCGAGGGUAAGGGUACUCGCUAGACCCCCCCAGAGUUGGUCGGGCGUAUUUGGGACCCUUAUCAGGGUUCCCUAGAUCAUUGUAGUAAGCAUAGUCAUAGACCCUGUCCCAUUCCUGGAGCUCUCCCUUUCCAUCUCCUCUCAAGUGUACAAGUUCUUCUUCUCUGUAUUUUCGCAGUGGCAACGGUGUUUCACUUGGGAGAAAUGUCUGCACAAACAUAUACAAGGCUUGAAUGUUAGUCUUUAACUUAAGAUACAAGCCACAAAUAUAUCCUCAUAAUAUACUAGGCUUGCACUUAGAAUUUAAAACUUCCAUCAGCUACAACAGAAACUACAGCAGAUUGUAAUGGAUUGUGUGAAUCAUUCGUUACCUUGUUAACGAAGAAAACACGGUCCUUCGUGUAUUUUUCUGCAGGGUACACCCAUGAGUUGCAAACAAAGUGGACCCGGCCCUCACGAGGAACAUCUUCAAGGGUAAUAGUCUUAAGGAAGAACUCACUGUGAUGAUUGUUUUUUAUCAAGAUGGCUCCUGGAACUCCUAUUUCCUCUUCCCAGUCAAAGGUAACCUUGUAUGCAGAAUCUCCAACUGUUAAUGGAGUGAUUGUGGUGAUCCAGUCUUCCAGAUAUGCUGGCUCUCCAAGUUUCCCCUUAAACCCGUUUUCUACAAAAACACAUUUCUCCAAGUUCAGAAUAUAAUGCCAUAUCUAGUACCCCAUUUACUAAUCAAUUAAUAUUUCCAAUGGAAUAAAGUUCAUCCGAAAUUUUGUUCUAAACACCUCAAAUCAGGUCUUAGUUGGAGCCAUUUUAUGCAAGUUGUUGUAAUUUUCAAUGCGUGUUCAAAAUUUUAUUAGGAACAGAACCUGCGGCUGUUUCUUCAGAAUAUUCGAAGGAAAACAAAAAAUAAUUGGAUCUGAGUAAAAAACCAUAAUCAGAAAAAGGCUUAAAGCUAUGCCAAAAGCCAACAGCCAACUGCAUGGAGCUUCAUUUUCAUGUUAACUGGUAGCUAGACUGGUAGUUGGCGUUCACAGGUAAGAAAAAGAUUAGCUUUCCUGUCUAUUCACUUCCUGACAUGACCACUAUGAAAAAAAUAACAAAUGGAAUGGCUGAUGAUGGCCAUGAUUUAAAAAUCAUUUUCAUAUCUUUCAAAACUAAACUGGUUUUUUAAUCAAAUUUUUUGUUACCAUAAACGAGGAUGACAUUAGAGACCCCCCAAAUAAUAUAGAUUUCUCAUGUAGCACACCAAAUAGUACAAUAAAUAUUGAUGCUGUUAGAUUGACUAUAAAGCCCUUGCCAUUAAAAUAGUAAUGUCUCUACUGUACUUUUAGCCACCAAAUCACUUGCAUACAGACAGGGCAAAAACAAUGUUGGGGCACCUUCAAUCACAAUGAGAGUGUUGGAAGGGGUAAGCUUAAGACCACUACAUUCCAAAUGCCUCAUGACUGGACCCAAAAAAUGGAUUAAUUGACCCGGGUGCCCUUUGAAUUGUCAAAAAGCUGUUUCCAUUGCCUGCCUAUAUCAGAAUUGCAUUCAAAAUCUGAUUUAUUGGACCUAAAUGCCAGAUAUAGCCAGGUUUUGAUGAAGACCAAAGAGAUUAAUGACAUAAUCUGUAACCCAACUAAUCCACCGAGGAAAAAGAUUGAGUUAUUGGUUCAUCUUCUUAAUCUUGUCAUAAUUGCUUCAAAGAAAAAGAAUUACAAGGAAAUGAAACAAGAGCAAAACUCAAAUUGGUUUCAUGUCAUGCAUAUUCAAUCAAUGAAGCCAUAAAAACUAUACAUUUUUAAUGAAAAUUAAAGAAAGAGAAAAAAAAACUCACCAGAGUCUCCAUGAUCAGCACUGAUGAGCUGCAGAGAAACCCCUUGGCCUAGCAGUUCAUGCACACGAUCAAGAACAGAAGCAUUGAAGUCAUUGAAAUCCAACACAUUCUUCUUCAUCAAAACCACAGUCCCUUUGAUCUUCCUACUGUUUUUCCCAUUCUGCUCCUGGCCUGUGAUUUUGUCAAAGAGGUUGUGCAACAUUUUGUUCGGCUUUCCAAGAAGUAAGCAAAGAAUCUCUUGAUCUUUUUUUCGAGAAAAAAGUAGCUGUUGUUGGUGAAAUGAGUUGAAAGUUUGUAUGGAUGAGUGCGACAGGGAAUUGUGGUGGUAUUUAUAGGGAGAAAGUGAGCAAUAUUGCAACUCCUUUCUGAGAAGCUUCAGAAUAAUAGUCAGUUCAUGUGUUCAAUUUCAUUUCAUAUAUGGGCACGUUUAAUUGUCUUACUAUUUCUUUAAAAGAAAUAUACGAUUGGUUACAAGUCAGCAGUCUCUUCUCUGGACAAAGUCUUCCACGACUUUUAUCUAAGGAAAUUAUUUGUAGGGCUGUAUAUUUCUUGGGAUGGCUUGGUGACGGUGACCAAGGGGAGCAAAAUGCAAAUUAACCCAUACUCAUCCCUUUAAGAUUAACCCUUUGUUUAUAGAAAUUCUAUAUGCAUCACGUCUGUUCUUUGUUAAAAUACGGAUUGCGUAUUAAGAUAUAUAAUCGACGGUGUAGCUAUAGUAUGUUGAUACGUUUUAUUAUUCACAUAUUCUCGAUAGAUAUAUGAAUAUUUUAAUAAAGAAGGUACGUCAUGUUCGUACGAAGAACUGUCCCUAUAAAAUACAUUGAUGAAAUAAUUAGAGGAUUAAAAAUUAAAAGAUAUUGUACGCAUGAAUAGACUAUACGCCAAUUUAAUGCGAGAGGUACAAUUAAUUUUUUUUUCAUUGCAUCCUUGACAAUUCCUGGGCUGGGAAAUGAUUUGCUUAUAGUGUGCCUUUUUUUUCUUUUUCUUUUUUGUUUUUAACCGGAAAAGACAAUGCGGCCAAUUUGGAACCGCAGUUUUGGGUUUGGCUUUAUCUCAGAAGCAAGGAAAAUUCUGUGGUGCAAAGCCAAAAGGGCCAUCGGUUCGGACCUGAUUUAAGCUGCCACGUUGGACUUGUUCUUUGUAAUAAUAUUCUUCUCCCAGCAGCAAGUUGGCUUUUAAAUAUUAUUAUGAAUAGAUAUAUUCCCUCGCUUUUCACAUGGGGUCUUUUUCCAUUUGGGAAUAAUUUGUUUAUUCUCAUGUUCAAGAUGAAAUUCCAAAAGAUUUUGUUUGUGGGUGUAGUGGGAUUAGUUUAAUCACAACACAAAACAGACAUGAAAACAUCCCUUGCACGUGAUCUGUGUAUAGCUCAAUUACAUUAAUUAUUAGUCUAUCUUAAUCUAUCUUAAUCCCAGUUAUCAAACUUUCCUUAUUGUGUAAAGCAUGCAAGAUUGAACUUUGACGAAAAUGGUUUAGGGGUCCUUCAAUCUGAGGGAUUGAACUUAAUUAAGAAAAAAAACCACUUCACAUGCAAGAAAAAUUCUCUACAGAAACCAAAGUCACAGAGAAAGAACAGCUAGCAGUUUGGUGCUGCACCCAAAAUUAGAAGACGUGUGCAUUAACAUUUCUCGUGAACAAAUUGAACCACUUCAUACCUAACUAUAGUACCAUCCAUUAAUUGAGCAUACAAUGAAUUAGAUUUUAAAUUUACAGUUGCACCAUCAUAAUCAAGUAGCUUGUCCCACAAUGUUUUGAAGAACCUAAAGUUGGAUAACCCCGAUCAGAUUGUUAGGUGGAUAAAUAUUAAUACUAAUUAUUAUUACGAUCGAGAAUGUGAGAUAACUUAGAUUAGAGUUGUAAUUAACCAACAAAAUUUAAUCAAAUUCUACAAUUGUGACCAAGUCUAUAGUCCAUGCUAGUCACCAAUUUGGUUUAGAUCUGAACAAACCCUUGGAUAAGUACUAUACUGGUCUACAGAGAUAUUAGGGGUCUUCAAUUUGAAAUGGGCUACGUUUAAUUUUUAAUUUUUAAUUUCCCAAUUUGUACAAGGAUAAUUUUUUAUUUUUUUUACACAACGGCCAUAGUGUUUUAUUAAUGAGGAAAAUGAGUAACAAGUAUAUAAAAAAAAAAACCAGAAUAUGUUCUAGAGGAUUAGGCGAGUACUCUACACCAAACGAAGCGUAGUGGUCAUCGGUCUACCGAAGUAUCCUACCUUCUCAACUACAAACGAAAAAAGGAACCUUGUCUCCAGGGCCGAUCCUGAGAUUUUGAGAGCACUGUGCAAAACUUAAAUAGGAGCCCUCACAUCAUUUAAUAUGAAAAUAUUUAUGAUAAAAAAAAAAAUUGCCAUGACUUAAUACCAUAAGAUAAUUUUUUUAAUAACUAAAAUUCAUCAUGGAUUAGCAUGCAAUGGCACUCAUAAAUCAAAUUCAAACAAAAUUUAAUGUUUCAAUUUGAGAAAAAAGAAGAGAAAGAAGAAGACAAUAACUUUUUUUGUUUUGUUUUGAGUGGGUUAAAACAUACAUUACAAAUUUUUUUUAGUUGAUUGGAGAAAGCUUGUAUAUAUUGCCUUCAUCUUCUUUGGCAUGUUUCCUUAUUUUUUUUUUAUUAACAUGUUUUUCGAUUUUUUUUUUUUGUUGUUGUUGUUAACAAAAAGAGAAGAAAUGUAAAUACAACUAUUUUGAAUGACACAAUACUAAUUCAAACCAGACUUGCUUAUUAAAAUAAAGGCGUUGAUUUCCAACUCAACCAAAUAGUAGCUUGUGUUAUUGUCAUGCACGCUCAAGUAUAUAUAUAAUACUUAUAAUAUAAAUAUAUAUAAAAUAUACACAUAAAAUUUUUUUGAAGUCGUGUGCAAUGGCACUACUUGCACACCCUCAACGCCAUCUCUGCUUGUCUCCAAUAGAGUCCCCUUAUCUAAUAGAGUCACAAGGACAAUUUGGAUCAAUAUAAUAGAGGCAGCUAAAACAUGGAUGGGUCUAAAAUAUACCUAAAAGUGAACUCUAAAGAAAAUAAAAUAUGUUUUUAGUCCAAGUAAUGGGUAACGUCAUUAAACAUUCUUCAAUUCCAUUUUAUAUUUAAGAACGUGGAAUAUAUAUAUAUAUAUAUAUAUAUAUAUAUAUAUAGUAACGAAGAAGCGUGUCUUUCAUGUCACUGAAUGUGACAUCCAGCAAUCAAACGGUCAAUGAGAGAAGUUAGAUUGAUAGAUAAGAUAGUCAUGUGACCAAUGGUAUUAAAUUGAAUUGAAUUGAUUUGGUAUUCUUGCCCUAAAAGAAAUUGAAUUGAAUUGAAUUGGUAUUAGGCUAUUAGCAUACGCAUGGACCCCUAAAAGGUCUAGACAUGGGUAAAAGGAAAAAUAAUAAACAAAUCUCAUACUUUUCCUUCGCAUGGAUCGUUGACUUUAAUAAAUUUAUUUGCUUUAUUCAAUAACUAUUUUGUACAACUUUACGUAUACUGUAUAUAACAACGUAAAUCACAUCGACGUACGUAUGAUUUGCAUGUCGAAAACGUUGUUGAAACAUGAUAACCUUCUUUGACUCCCAAAAGCCUUGAAAAAAGAAAAAUAUGAUGACUUCUUGGACAUGUCAUAAGGCUAGUGGUGGUGGAGGUGGGAUUCUUUUAUUUCUUAUAUUCCGUUAUAUGAUUCUUUCAGCCUUUGCUUUUAUUUCAAAAUAUAGAAGAAAGAAAAAAAAUCCUUGUUCCUUAAUGGCCAACAUAGGCCAGUGGUGGGCUCAAAAGCCCAAACUGAACCCACUUUCAAGGCACGUGAAAUGUGAAAGAACUCAUAUCUCAAAUAAAAAACACCUCUUUAAAAUGAAACUGAGCGAUUGAAAUGAAAGUACAGUUGAAUUCUUAAAAGUCAAUAGUGUCCUUACUUUUUUUUUAAUAAUUCUUGCAUAUUUAAGGUAUACCAUGUGACUAGUGUACCAUCCAAUAUACAUGUAACAUAUGAAAAUAUUAUCCAAUAUUGUCUUGUGUGUAUUGAAUGGUAAUGAUGUGGUGUACCUAUACAAAUUUUUUUUUUUUUUUUUCCCCUUACUUUGAGAAGUUGGUUUUGGGCUAAUGCAUAAAACUUUGAUAUUUGGUGACCAGAGAACAGUGGGCUGCUGGACUAGGAUAUUUCAGUUAUGAGGGUUGGGCUUGGGAAUUUGAUAUUGGGUUGCUAGACUUGGACAUUUCGAAAAUAUUAAAAAAAGAAACACCCGAUCUUGUCCGGUUCAGUCUUUAAAUCUAAGCUGAUUUUUUUAGUCAACAUGAUUUUUAUUUACUCAGUUCGUUGAUUCUGUGGUUUUUAUGCCAACCCCUAUUUCAAAGUGUCUCACCCGAUUUUUACUUAUUUUUGGUUUAAGCAUUAUAAAUUAAACCAGAUUAACAAACAAGAGAAUAGUUACCCUUUUAUUAUUAAUUAAUCUAUGUCCAUUUACCAUUUUAUUUCAAUAGCUAGAGAAAUUAAAGAAAGAAGGCGUAGAAAAGUUGAAGAAAAAAGGGUGCAGCAAGAAGAAGAUGAAAAUUUUGCUGUGGCAGUGGGUUUGCUUGAUUUAGAAAGCCAAGGUUGUCAACGUGGUUCAUAAGUUGGCCGUGGCCUAAACGUGGAUAGACAUAGGCAUUCUCGGGGUAAGAAUCUUUUGGAAGAUUACUUUAUCCCAAAUUUUGUGUACUUUAAUGUUGAUUUUCAAGGGCGAUAUAGAAUGCAACCUCAUUUGUUCAAUAAAGUCAUGCAUGAUGUUUGCAAUUACGAUGCAUACUUCGUUCAGAAAUGUGAUUUUGCAGGGGUUUUAGUGAUUCUUCCAGAGCAAAAGCUUACAGUUGUUAUACGAAUGCUGGCGUAUGGUUCAUAUGCUGAUAAUGUGGAUGAGAUUGCUAGGAUGGGGAAGUCCACUACUCUAGAGACCAUGGUCAGAUUCUAUGACGCAAUCGAAACUCUCUACACUAGGGACUAGCUCUGCAAACCUACGCCUAGGGACCCCCAAAGGCUUCUACAGAAAGUCGAAGCUUGAGGUUUUCUAGGUAUGAUUGGAAGUAUCGAUUAUAUGCACUGGCAAUGGAAGAAUUGCCCAACGUCCGGGCAAAGAGAUUAUGAAAAUAGGAAAGGACAAAAAAGUAUCAUUCUCGAAGCCGUUGCUAGAUUCGAUACAUGGGUUUGACAUGCCUUCUUUGGAGUUGUCGAAUCUCAAAACGACUUGAAAGUGUUGGGUCAAUCCCUAGUUUUCAACGAUGUCUCGAGAGGUGAAGCCCUAAAUAUCACUUAUGAAAUCAAUAAUACUGUCUACUGGAAUGGUUAUUAUCUAGCAGACGGCAUCUACCCGAGGUGAACCACAUUUGUCAAAUCAAUUCUGAAUCCCCAAUCCGAGAAGCAAAAAUUAUUUUCUGUCUAUCAAGAUGGUUACAGGAAAGAUGUCGAAAGGUGUUUUGGUAUCCUCCAAGCAAGGUGGGCGAUUAUUAGGGGUGUUGUGUGUAUGUUUGAUAAGGAAGUGCUGAGGAGGAUUAUGAUGACUUGCAUCAUCCUCCAUAACAUGAUUGUGGAGGAUGAGUAUGAUUGUGAUGCUCAAGAUGUGUUCGAACCGGAUCCCAUGAACACGGCCUUAACAAGAAUUUAUAAAAGGCUCAUGGGACCAAAUGGACAACCACUAGAGCAUGAUCUGUUGGUUAGGGACGAUCGUUUCAUGAACUGUAUGAUUGAUCGAUAUACGGAGAUGCAAUCAUUUUAUAUUCAUGAACGACAAGUUGACUUGAUGGAUCAUUUAUGGACGGUGAGAGGCAAUGACGGUGAAUGAAGUGAAGUGAAGAUGCAUUGUUUUUAAUUUUACUUUGUGUUGAUAUUUUAUUUUUAAUUAUGCUUUGGUUGUAGUUGUUUUUAAAGACAUUAAAAACAUUAAAGACAUUAAAGUAUUUCAUGUCAAAAAGUGGUUGGCUUGUGCACUAGAAAGCUUAACACUUACAGAGCAGCCAUUAAAGUAUUUCAUGUUGGGUUUUGGCCAAUGCCGUCGACAAUUUAUGGCAAAAGGUGGUUGGCUUGUGCUUCUAAUUAUGUUAGCAGGAGGUAUAGGAAUGCUUACUAUAACUUUUGGCGGACCUCAAGAAGAGGUAUUUUUAUGCCCAUUAUUUAUUUAAUUGAAUUGCAUUUUUAUGCCCACUUUUGGACUUUCCUUUAUUGAUUUUAUACAUUGAUCAUACUGCAGCAUAUUCAGGAGCUUGUUCGUCGUCUCCAAUUCGGACUCUGGUGGCUGGCUCUUGGUAAGCAAUAGCAUGAAAUUUUGACAUUCUGGUGGAUAGAGUUGACCUGUUUUCGACAACACUCGGAUUGAUUUUAUUAUAUUGUUCUUCUAUGCAGGAUCUGGUUUGCACACAUUUGUGCUAUAUUUAGGGCCUCAUAUAGCUCUGUUUACUAUGAAGGCAGUGCAGUGUGGCAGAGUUGACAUAAAAAGUGCCCCGUAUGACACCGUUCAAUUGAAAAUAGUCCUUCAUGGCUGGACAGAGACUGCUCUGAAUUCAGGGACCCCAUAUUUUUAUCGCAGCACAGUUCAAGGGUUCCACUUAGCAGCAUAUUGCCUCAGGUUCAGUUAGAGGCUAUCCUAUGGGGAAUCGGAAUCAGCGGCGGACCUAUUAAGGCGCUGCACAUCUUCUUAUCGGAAAAAUUAUUAUAGGUACUUCAAACUGCUCAUUUGCUCAACUGGUGUAUAGAUUACCUUAUUUAUUUUUAUAUUACUUCAUUUAUUUAAGUUUACAAUGUAAAUAAGGAAGUACCUGUUAUAAAAAAUAAUAGUUUUCCUCUUUCUGUAAAGCCAAAUACAAAACAUUUAUAUUAUAAAUAACAUAUAAACAAAUUAGAAAGCUUUGAAGGUAUAAUGAAAUUGAAGAAAACAAAAUAAUAGGUAAGUAAAAGGAAAAUGAAUAAUAAGUAAGAAGGUGAGUUUGGUACGGUGAAGCACGUCAAAAACGCUGUCCUAAAGCUUUUGUAGCCUCCCUACGUGCAAGUACUGACGGUCUACAAGACUCCAAGAUAAGACCCCUUAUACACAAACUCAAGAUCCGCUAUGAGCACGUUCAUAGACAGAUAUAGGUAUCCAAGUCACAUAACCAUUGCCCAAAAUAAUAAUAAUAAUAAAGUAGAGAAUAUAUGUAAAAGUAAAAAAGGAGAGAAUCAGAAUGUGGUAUAAAACAUGUAACAUUCACCAACCAUAAAAGUUCACCAACCAAAAAAUUAAGCCAUUCACCAACCAGAAAUAAAACCUAAAUAUUAAAUAUUUAUAACCCCCACAAUAAAUAAAAUAAACCAACCAAAAUAAUUAAAUAAAUAAAACGGUUAAAUUUUUAAAACCUUUUAAAAUUCCAAGAGUACCCCCCAUUUGGAUUCAAAUAAAAAUAAUAGAAAAUCAAAUUCCCACCAUAUCAAAAUAUGAAAAAUUGAUUUUAGUGCAAAAUACGAUUUAGGCUAAAAAUGAUGGCUCAUUAAGUCAAUAUAUUCUUCAUACUAAAAUCCCAUAAAAUCAAGUUUUCUUAUUUGAUGUGUAAGGAAUAAUAGCCGCCAAAAAUUAUCUUGAGAAAAUGAUUAUUCUGAAAAAUCAUUUUUCAUACUUAGUCAAUAUUGCACCUCUGCUAAAAAAAUUCUGAGUCCACCAAUGAUCGAAACUGCACUGGGAGAGCUUCCUCCUUAUUUCAUAUCAAGAGCUGGUAACUAAAAAACAACAAACUAUCUUCUUGUACUCACUGUCUCGAUACUCUGCAAUCGUCGUAGUAAACAAUUUCUAGGCAGGAACAGCCUGUUAGAAAAACUUCUAACUUAUCCAUGCACUUAUUUCAUGUCCCUUUAUAAGUCGGGAGUAUAUCUGGAUUCUUUAACCUGACUACAUAGUGUAAGGGUGAGUGAGUUGCAUAUGUUGAACCACUAAUUUCUCCCUGAACGAAUUUCUGAAUCUCUCCUAAUCUAUGAUUAUGUGCAGCUCAACCUACAAAUAAAUAGACUCCAAAAUAGUAUAUUAGUCUUGUACUUGGCCUAAUUCUUUACCCCAACCUGAACAACAAUCACAAAACCGUCAAUAAAAUGAAUAGGAACAAAAAAAGAACAAAACCACAACAUAAUUAACUUGAAUAUCAGAAAGCAAUAUGCUAAUUUGCGGUAGAGAUUUGUUCUUUUCUUUUUUCUUUUUUAACCUUUUGAAUUGUAUAACGAUCAUCAAUUUUAUAGGCUUUGAAUAUCAAACAAAAAGUGCAAAGAAAGCAGCCAAAAGUUGGGACCAGCUUCAACCAUUAUCUCCAAGGCCAUGUACAAUUGCCACUCAGGCAGUCUAUUUUCACAAAUUGAAAAUGCAAUUACGUGGUUCUUGUUUAUCAAUUGCCAACUUGACGUGGCUGAAGAAUAACAACAAUAAAAAUAGAAAGAAAAGAAAACUGAACUGCAAUUCACUACAGAAAACAAACCAAAAAUAAAUAAUAAACAAGGACUUUCCCUCGUCACUCUCAUCUUCAAUUCAGCCCCAUGCCUUACGUCACCAAGCUCAUACUUCUUUAUUUUACUACAACAUAGCCACGUUAUGUUGCCAAUUGACAAACAUGCACUAUGUAAUUGUUAAUCUUUUUUUUUUCUUUUUUUGAAAAGAAACAAAUAUAUUAAAGCAAUUAAAUUUAGUGCUUUUAACCAUUAUAAUCACACAAAAUCUAAUGAAAAUAUUAUUUUUUAAAAAUAUAUAAAUAUUAACAUAUCAAUUAACUUUAACUUUCAUUGCAAGUGUUAAUAUCUUAGUCAUAAGUAAAUAACAAACAUUGAUGAACAUGCUGUAAUUGAAAUGCAAUUGAAUUUACAAAAAUUCAAUUGGCAGACAGAAAGCAGGUAAUUGAAUAUGUGAAAUUUAAUUGCAUCAAUGGAGUGGAAUGCACUAAACAAGUUGAGAAAACUAAACAUACUCCAUGUUUUACUUUAUUAACCAAUAUUGUCCAUUUUGUUAAAUUACCAUUAAAAAAUUCAUUUAAAUAUUUUAAGUUCUAUUUAUAAAGAAAACAAAUAUGAAUUAAAAGAAUAAAAUUUAAUUAAAAAAAUUCUGGAAACCCGACAGCCUCUAUGUCUUUCUCAUGCAACCACCACCACCCAACCCACACCACAACCACCAUGAGUAGUCCCAGCCACCACCUUAUUCUCUCUCUCUCUCUCUCUCUCUCUCUCUCUCUCUUUCAAUUGUCGAAUCCCAACAUGGCAACCAAGUUCUUCAGUUUCUUUUUGCUGAUUAUUUUGCUCUGCUCCACAUUCAUUGCAAUAAAGUGCCCGACCCUUCAAUAUCAUGAGUACAACAAUUGGAGGUUUCCUUGAUGGGAAUCGGGCCCUAGCCUAGGUGAGGGGCACUUACGAACCAACAAACCCUUGGAGGGAUAAAGAAAUCUGGCCCGAGCCCUCCCUUCUCUCCCCGAUCCAUCCCACCCCACCCCACAACUCCUCCAUCUCUCUUUCCUCUCUCUUUCUCUCUCCCUUUUUCCAUCCAACCCACGCCCACAAAAAUAUGAGUGAAAUAAAGAUUCAACAUCAGUAUUGGCAGGCAACUGAUGGUUGUGGUGUUGGGUUGGGUAGCGGCAGCAGCAUGAGAGGAGGACACAUAGUCUGUUGGGUUUCCAAAAUUUCUUUUUUAAUUUUUUAAUUUUUUAAUUUUUAUCAACAUUAUAAACUGAACUUAACAAAUUUUUUAAUUAAUUUUUAAACUUUAAUGAAUUUUUUAACAAUAAUUUAAUACAAUUGACAACAUUGACUAAUGGAGUCAAACACAGGAACUAAAUUGAUCAAAUUAAAUACAAGAUAUUAAAUUUGCCAAAUGUACAAAUUACAUGGACUAUUUUAAUAUUUAAGCCUUAAUUUUAUAGAAGCAGUUAGACUUAAUAAAUUUUAUAUUGUUUUUGCUUUUCCUCGGUGAUGAUUUUCAUUUAAUUUUUGAACAGAUGAGACAGAGGCAACUGAUUCUAUGCACUUGCAGGCAUGCUGAGAUUGAGGCGCUUAUACAUAUUGUCAUGGAUGAUUUCAAAGAUGCUUUUGCUGCCCCCUCUCAAAUAUGCUUAUUAAAAGUAAGGCUUAAAAUUCUGAUUUUCGUAGUUUCCAGUAUCUUGGAUGAAAUGUUGAUAUUGCAUAUGCCUAGGCUGUUGCUGCAGAAUUUUCUGACCGAAGGCUUGCAAUGAAGCUAACGAACCAAUGAAUACAGAGCUAUUUAUAUAAAGAUAUUGUAGCUGUAAUAUUGUAGGUCCAGCAGAUGAAGAUGAAGAUGAAGAUGAAGAUGCUCAACUUAACAAUCCAAUAUUACUGCAACUGCAAUAUUGUAGGUCAUGUUUCUAGCUUAUUACACAUAAGGAAUGCAUUAUACUAAUUAAUUAUAUAUAGUAAUUGCAACUUGCAUUAUAUUAAUUAACUUUAGUCUAUAUGCUAGCUUGAGAGGCUUAGAUUGAGACACUGUUGGGAAUUCCCCUGCCAGUAAGUCCUCCUCCGCUAGUAGGAAACAGCAAAGUGUAUGGCAUCUUCACCGGUCCAACUCGGUUCUUCAGUUUCUCAUCAUUGUUCAUACUUUCAAUUCUGUCCUCAAUUUCAGCCAGUUUCCUUCCAAAUUUAUCAAAGACUUUCAAUGGUUCUGUGUCUGCUGUCCACUCAGGAGUGUCUCUCUGCCCCAAAUACACUUCAUCAGUAGAAUGCCUUGACAGAAUUUCAAUGAGGGCAAUGCCAAGCACUGUCUGCAGCUGAGCAGUAAUUGUUUUCAAGAAAACUGUAUCGGGGCUGGAUUCGAGCUCUUUGUACUCAGGAGUUCCCUUCUCAGGCAUGAAUUUUCGGCUUAAAGUUGGGCGGUUGGGGAGGUAUCCUGCAUAAGGGUACUGUCCAAAGUUGACUGCUGCAUGGAGAGCAGAAGCAGUCCAUAUGAUGAUAGUGCAUGUUUCGACUAGGUCUUCACGAGUCUGCAUUUUAGGCCACCAGGGCUCAUCUUUUUUGUCACCAUGGCCUUCCUCUACAAGCUCCUUCCACCAGGAUUGGAGUUCAGUGUCUUUUUGAAUUAUGUCAUCAGUCUUGUAGUAGAAAGAGCAAUAGUCUUCAACCCAAGUUUUAAUUGCAAACCAGAUUUCAAUCCCAUCAACAGCAUAUGGAUAGUCCUCGAUCAGUAGGCGAAGACCAUGUGGAGAAUUUGCAUCCUUGACUGCAACUCCUCUGUAUUGAUCAAAGGCAAUGCAAUGUAAUUAGAAUAAGAAAUGGAUAUUUAUUACUUAUCUUGUGCUCAUUUGAGUUACUUGUGCAGAGGCUAUUAACUCACAAAGUGUAGAUUUUUGUUUACCUCUUGAUGAGAUCUGCAGGGAGAGCUUG
Molecule: long non-coding RNA, 15794 nt
Filed under: Prunus persica (peach)
Lineage: Eukaryota; Viridiplantae; Streptophyta; Magnoliopsida; Rosales; Rosaceae
Description: long non-coding RNA (PPER_LNC006708)
Source: RNAcentral